AGUGGGGGCCCCGGGGGAGGGGCCACGCGUGGCGACCCGUGGGCCGCGCGGGACCCCCGGCUUGGAGGGGAACCCCGGCUUGGGGGGGAACCCCGUUUUCUAAAUGAGGAAGCUGGGACGCAGAGAGGGAACUACCCAGGGUCACAGCGAGUUAGUGGCUGCACGCGGCCCACAGGUCCCUGCUCCAUCCGGGAGCCCAGAUCCCUUAUAAACACCCCCGCCUCCUUCCUGAUGGAGAGCAGGAUGGGAACCUGCAGGUGGAGGCGGGGAGCGAGGCCCCGUGGGGCCUGCACCUUCCACUCCCUGCGGAUCUAGAGGGAGCUGCAGGGCUGGUGGAGAAACUGAGGCCCAGGGAGGUGGAGAGACUUGUCCAGACCGGGGCGUCUCCACGGCCCCACACGCGCCAGGACCAAAGGUCAGCCUCUGACGCGGAGCCGCAGGGGAGCUCACAGUUCAGGUCAAAGUCCAGUCGGCACAAAAGGACCAGAGACAGCCGAGAAGCCACCGGGCGGAGCCCCGAGUCACGGAGAUGCCGGGUCGAGUUCCAGCCCCGCCCCUGCCCGGCCCCGAGACCUGGGCGGCCACGGGAGGGACUCCCCGUGUCGGGUCCCCGGCCGCAACGCGAAGAUGACCACGUGCUCCUCUCGCCAUGGGACUGAAGGGAGACCCCAGGUGAGCACGAAAGGGGGUCAUG
Long non-coding RNA from Myotis myotis, 694 nucleotides. RefSeq lists it as uncharacterized. The record is from RefSeq and is a predicted model, not a curated record. The transcript is spliced from 3 exons. Lineage: Eukaryota; Metazoa; Chordata; Mammalia; Chiroptera; Vespertilionidae.